AGCUCAGCGGUAGAGUGCAUGCCUUGUAAGCAUGAGGCCCUGGGUUCAAUUCCUCAG
This 57-nucleotide transfer RNA is filed under the name Dipodomys ordii (Ord's kangaroo rat). It matches the Rfam family "tRNA", at positions 9 to 63 of the family's 71-position model. From Rfam's summary of the family: Transfer RNA (tRNA) molecules are approximately 80 nucleotides in length. The record is from Rfam by way of RNAcentral. Lineage: Eukaryota; Metazoa; Chordata; Mammalia; Rodentia; Heteromyidae.